Molecule: ribosomal RNA, 356 nt
Filed under: uncultured Acidimicrobiales bacterium
Lineage: Bacteria; Bacillati; Actinomycetota; Acidimicrobiia; Acidimicrobiales
Description: bacterial SSU rRNA
Rfam family: Bacterial small subunit ribosomal RNA
Source: RNAcentral
CGUGGGGGAUGAAGGCCUUCCGGGUUGUAAACCCCUUUCGGCAGGGACGAAACUGACGGUACCUGCAGAAGAAGCCCCGGCCAACUACGUGCCAGCAGCCGCGGUGAUACGUAGGGGGCGAGCGUUGUCCGGAUUUAUUGGGCGUAAAGAGCUCGUAGGCGGCUUGGUCAGUCGAGUGUGAAACCUCCAGGCUCAACCUGGAGCCGCCACUCGAUACUGCCAUGGCUAGAGUCCGGUAGGGGACCACGGAAUUCCUGGUGUAGCGGUGAAAUGCGCAGAUAUCAGGAGGAACACCGGUGGCGAAGGCGGUGGUCUGGGCCGGUACUGACGCUGAGGAGCGAAAGCGUGGGGAGCGA